AGUGAACGCUGGCGGUAGGCCUAACACAUGCAAGUCGAACGGCAGCACAGGAGAGCUUGCUCUCUGGGUGGCGAGUGGCGGACGGGUGAGGAAUACAUCGGAAUCUACUCUGUCGUGGGGGAUAACGUAGGGAAACUUACGCUAAUACCGCAUACGACCUACGGGUGAAAGCAGGGGACCUUCGGGCCUUGCGCGAUUGAAUGAGCCGAUGUCGGAUUAGCUAGUUGGCGGGGUAAAGGCCCACCAAGGCGACGAUCCGUAGCUGGUCUGAGAGGAUGAUCAGCCACACUGGAACUGAGACACGGUCCAGACGCCUACGGGAGGCAGCAGUGGGGAAUAUUGGACAAUGGGCGCAAGCCUGAUCCAGCCAUACCGCGUGGGUGAAGAAGGCCUUCGGGUUGUAAAGCCCUUUCGUUGGGAAAGAAAUCCAGCUGGCUAAUACCCGGUUGGGAUGACGGUACCCAAAGAAUAAGCACCGGCUAACUUCGUGCCAGCCGCCGCGGUAA
This 506-nucleotide ribosomal RNA is filed under the name uncultured bacterium. RNAcentral describes it as "partial 16S ribosomal RNA". It matches the Rfam family "Bacterial small subunit ribosomal RNA", at positions 29 to 523 of the family's 1533-position model. The record is from RNAcentral.